UUCAGGUAAAGGUAACCUGAAUGAAGGUCAUUACCGAGUGUCGGUCUGCCCCCGGGCCGGUCCCACCUCCCGCCCUUGCAUACCUGAUGACUGUGCUAGCGCGGUGCUCCCCCCCCGGGGGGGGUUGCCUGAUACCACACCCAACCUCUUGGGGGACGUGUCGUCUGAGCUUGAUACGCACAACCCUAUGUAAAUCUUUCAACUGUGGAUUUCUUGCUUCCUGGUUUAAUGACGGCCGGGCGCCAGCCGACUUCUCCAAACCUUUAUUUUACCAGGUUGACCUCGGAUCAGGUAGGGAUACCCGCUGAACUUAAGCAUAUCAAUGAGCGGAGGAAGUCCGAGCGUCAUUGCUGCCCUUCAAGCCCGGCUUGUGUGUUGGGUCGUCGUCCCCCCCGGGGGACGGGCCCGAAAGGCAGCGGCGGCACCGCGUCCUGGUCCUCGAGCGUAUGGGGCUUUGUCACCCGCUCGUUUAGGGCCGGCCGGGCGCCAGCCGACGUCUCCAAACCUUUUAUUUUACCAGGUUGACCUCGGAUCAGUAGGGAUACCCGCUGAACUUAAGCAUAUCAAUAAGCGGAGGAA
RNAcentral lists this ribosomal RNA (579 nucleotides) under Magnoliophyta environmental sample. Its description in RNAcentral is "eukaryotic LSU rRNA". Lineage: Eukaryota; Viridiplantae; Streptophyta; Magnoliopsida. The record is from RNAcentral.